Molecule: long non-coding RNA, 677 nt
Organism: Helianthus annuus (common sunflower)
Lineage: Eukaryota; Viridiplantae; Streptophyta; Magnoliopsida; Asterales; Asteraceae
Exons: 3
Source: RefSeq, a predicted model, not a curated record
ACAGCCAACUAAUUAUAUUUAAAGCCCAAACUACUAACUAAACCCUAAGUAUUUAUUUCUAGUGAAACCCUAAAUGAGUUUUUGUUACAGCCGUUCAACAUCAUCCCUCUCAAAUGUCCUUGCACUUCAUCUUCUCCAACAAACCAAACCCCAGCCCCUUUUCCCUGCUCUCUCCCUCUCGUUCAUGUAUCCGACAACCGGAGCCGGAAUUUCGGCCGAGCUCCGGCAUUCCUGUCUUCUCCGGCAAACCCCCACCCCUUCACAACCAUCUCCCUCACACUCACCCCUCCCUCUCUCGACUCUCGCUCUGAUGAACGAAUGGUCGGCCACCAUCAUCGGUGGCGGCGCUCGGUGACGGCGACAGAACCACCUCAGCGGCAGCGUAGUUGUGGGUGGCGUUUCAGUGGUGGUUGCGGUCAAGAGACGGUGGUUACGGGCAGUGGCAGCGGCGACGACAAAGACGAUGGUUCUGCCGUUCUUUUUCGGAUAACCGCUCUCGUUCGUUCUCUUGGACUUCCGUUUACUCAUGCACCAUCGUUUGCCCAUAUAGGGUGACCGCGGUGUUCCAUCCUCUUAAACUCGUACGCUCGUCAACACUUGGAUAAUCGGAAGAUUUAGCAAUUAUGUUGAUUAAUGAAGUAUGGAUGAUUGAUGAAACAAGUUUAGGGUGGACUAGA